This 492-nucleotide ribosomal RNA is filed under the name Triticum aestivum (bread wheat). Its description in RNAcentral is "partial small subunit ribosomal RNA". The record is from RNAcentral. Lineage: Eukaryota; Viridiplantae; Streptophyta; Magnoliopsida; Poales; Poaceae.
AUGAACCCAUCCUCGGCUCCGGGUCCUGAUGGGCUACCUUUGAAGUUCUUCCAGAACUUCUGGGAGGUGAUCAAACCUGAGGUGAUGGCACUAUUUGACGAGUUCUUCGUCGGGUCCAUCGACCUCGCCCGGCUCAACUUUGGUGUAAUCACCCUCAUCCCCAAAGUGGCCGGGGCCUCGGAGAUCCGCCAAUUCCGCCCGAGUAUGGUGAUUAACGUCAUCUUCCGCAUCCUCGCAAAGGGGUACGCCAUUAGGGUGGCCCCUAUUGCCGACCGGAUCACUUACCCGAAUCAGUCAGCCUUCAUCCAGGGCCGUUAUAUCCUUGACGGAGUCCUGGUGUUUCACGAAGCUCUCCAUGAGGUUCACUCCAAACACCUCAAGGUUGUCUUCCUGAAACUAGACUUCCACAAGGCGUAUGACACGGUUAGUUGGUCUUUCCUUCGGGAAUGUCUUCUCCGAAAGGGCUUCGAUGAUCAGUGGGUGACUAGGGUG